AGUAGUGUGGUGUAGUGGCUUGAGUGUUGGACUACAACUCUCAAGACCAGGGUUCAAAUCCCUGCUCAGCCA
RNAcentral lists this transfer RNA (72 nucleotides) under Phrynosoma platyrhinos (Desert horned lizard). Its description in RNAcentral is "tRNA-OTHER". The stretch from base 9 to 72 matches the Rfam family "tRNA". Rfam says of the family: Transfer RNA (tRNA) molecules are approximately 80 nucleotides in length. Lineage: Eukaryota; Metazoa; Chordata; Lepidosauria; Squamata; Phrynosomatidae. The record is from RNAcentral.